This 253-nucleotide ribosomal RNA is filed under the name uncultured bacterium. RNAcentral describes it as "partial 16S ribosomal RNA". It matches the Rfam family "Bacterial small subunit ribosomal RNA", at positions 524 to 776 of the family's 1533-position model. The record is from RNAcentral.
UACGGUGGGGGCAAGCGUUGUUCGGAAUUACUGGGCGUAAAGGGCUCGUAGGCGGCCAACUAAGUCAGACGUGAAAUCCCUCGGCUUAACCGGGGAACUGCAUCUGAUACUGGAUGGCUUGAGUUCGGGAGAGGGAUGCGGAAUUCCAGGUGUAGCGGUGAAAUGCGUAGAUAUCUGGAGGAACACCGGUGGCGAAGGCGGCAUCCUGGACCGACACUGACGCUGAGGAGCGAAAGCCAGGGGAGCAAACGGG